RNAcentral lists this long non-coding RNA (294 nucleotides) under Homo sapiens (human). Its description in RNAcentral is "HSALNT0093365". The record is from RNAcentral. Lineage: Eukaryota; Metazoa; Chordata; Mammalia; Primates; Hominidae.
CUCUGUGCUGUUGGACUUGGAGGAUUGUUGCUGAUAGGCCAGGGCAGCCCACUGAGGGUGCUUUAAAUCAAGAUUUUGGGAGUGGUAUGAUGGCAAGGUCUAGAGUGAGUGGAUAAGGUAGAUGAGAUCAGUUGUGUUGAAAUGAAGGUUUUGACUACUGGAUAAUACGAGCAAAAACACAUAAAAGCACUACUACGCUAGAAGAUUGAAGCAAAAAGAAUUUUUUUUUUAAAACAAAAGAUGAUAAUUCUAGAAUGGAGAGCAAGAAAAUAACAUAUUGGGGCUGGGUGUGGU